CAGCACCUCAAGUGGUCAGGAUGAUUAUUGGGCCUAAAGCAUCCGUAGCCGGCUCUGUAAGUUUUCGGUUAAAUCUGUACGCUCAACGUACAGGCUGCCGGGAAUACUGCAGAGCUAGGGAGUGGGAGAGGUAGACGGUACUCGGUAGGAAGGGGUAAAAUCCUUUGAUCUAUUGAUGACCACCUGUGGCGAAGGCGGUCUACCAGAACACGUCCGACGGUGAGGGAUGAAAGCUGGGGGAGCGAACCGGAUUAGAUACCCGAGUAGUCC
RNAcentral lists this ribosomal RNA (270 nucleotides) under uncultured archaeon. RNAcentral's name for it is "partial 16S ribosomal RNA". It matches the Rfam family "Archaeal small subunit ribosomal RNA", at positions 477 to 747 of the family's 1478-position model. The record is from RNAcentral.